GCUCGCCGGAUGGGGGGUGGUUCUUGCCAGGGAAGUUCAUAACACCAUACCAAAAGAAUAUCAUACCGGGCUUAAAUGAAUAUGGAAAAAAGUUUGACGCCUAAAUAAGUCCAUACAAAAGAGAAAAAGGGGAUAAUGACCAAAAAACACACACGUUUACUCACGAAACGAAUGGACAGGUUAUCUACACGGCACCGGAUUAUACGUGGCUUGGCGGCUGACAUUCCAAGCGUCUAGCCCUCCCACAGAAACCACGAUCGGGCUUCACCAUGAUACCUACUUCAUGCGCUAGGCAUCUCAACAUCGAGACACCGCAACCGGCCUAUGCUACCUAGCUUGAGCUCAACCUAUGUCGCCUUGGGCACCCUUUCUAUGUUACGCUGAAAGACCACUGAAAUCAAAAAGGAAGUCUAUCGGUCGUUCGUCUGUCCAAGGUUGUGUGUAAAUUAUCUGUCCGCAUAGGGUUUUUUUACAUGGGCGGUCGGUGUGAUCAUACCGGUUUUCUGCGCCUCCCCCAAUGACUAGAGCGGUGAUGGUAACUGGACGUGCUGGAUAACCGAUCGCGUGCUUCGGUUUUUUAAUUUUGUUUAUAUUUUGUAAGACUUUAGUUCCUGUAAAACUUUAGUUGCUUAUUUUUUUUCUUUCCUUUUAAAUAUUGGAUUGCCCAAAAAGUAUUUGCGGAUGUUUUAAAAGAAAGUAAAUGCAUUUUUAAUAAAACUUAGAAUGAACUUUAAUCAAAUACACUUUUUUUGCACUUACAGUCACAAGCUGUGAAAAAAUUUGUCAACGCCGACUAUAUGAAAAAUCCGCAAUUACUUUUUGGGCAACCCAAUAGUUUGUAACGAUCAAAUCUUUUCUUUAGCUUGUAAGACUUUAGUUUAUCUUUAGUUUUAAUUUGUUUAUAGUUUGCGCUCACAAUAGUAUUGAAAUGCCACAGGUUGUUUCUUUUGCAGAUUUCUAGUUUGUACGACUGCCACAUUCACAAGUGUUUUUUUUCUUCGACCCUUAGGUCACACUUUCACCAAUUUGAGAUUUAAUGUACAACAAAAUUCGAUAAAAUAAAAUAUGUAGCGGAUGCAUUUUUAUAAGUUAAAUAUAUUAAAAUUACUUUACUCAUUUUAAGUUUAUUUCAAUUAUUUGAUGGAAAGAUUCUAGUUUAAAUUAUUUAGCGAACAUGAACUAACUAUUAUUUUCGAGUGUACGAAUGAAUAUUAUUGUUUCUAUGAGUUAAAUGUUACAGUAAAGUAUAAGAGAUUCAAUUAUUUUGAGAGUUAAUGUUUUGUUCUUUUGAUCUCAGCAAUGAGUGUAUUUUUUUAUCUCUUGUUUUCUCGCACAAUCUUUUGUAUAACUUUAAUAUAUAGAGAGAAGCUUAAACACAUACGACUCUACUCUCAACCAAUAUGUCUGUUGAGUGAUUGUUUUGCUUGUCUCUUUUCGCUUGUAAUAUUGUUUUUGGGAUUAUUUAGUUAUUACUCAAUAUUUUCGAAUUCUUGUUUGUCAUCGCUUACUUUCAAUUCAAGGUUAUUUUCUAAUUGCCUAUACAAGAAGAUGCACAAACCAGAAAUUGGUAUUCUUGGAGUUGCAGCCACCAAUAAAGGUUGAAAAUAAAACAA
Molecule: long non-coding RNA, 1613 nt
Organism: Stomoxys calcitrans (stable fly)
Lineage: Eukaryota; Metazoa; Arthropoda; Insecta; Diptera; Muscidae
Exons: 3
Source: RefSeq, a predicted model, not a curated record